Molecule: long non-coding RNA, 2438 nt
Filed under: Capsicum annuum
Lineage: Eukaryota; Viridiplantae; Streptophyta; Magnoliopsida; Solanales; Solanaceae
Description: long non-coding RNA (CANN_LNC007230)
Source: RNAcentral
UCUUCUUCGAUUCUCACUUCUUAAUUUUUUUCCAAACAAACCACAAGAAUCAAAUAACAAGAAUCUUUCUUCUUCGAUUCUCACUUCUCAAUUUUUUCAAACAAACAACAAGAAUCUAAUCACCAGUUGUUACAAAUUGAGUAAUCCUGAUAUCAUCAUCAUCUUCAACAACAACCAAAGCUCAAACACAGACAAACAGGUGAACGAAAAGCUUCAAGAACCGCCAGAAAUUCUGCAAAAAAGAAAAAAAAUAGUGCUUUUCAGGAAUAAUCUUCUUGUUGCUACCUCUUAGCUCUACAAUGGCAAUCAUAAUUGAAGAACCAGAUUCACCAACACCAACACCAAAGAAACAAUAAAAACCCCUUAAACCCACUUCAAGAACUCCUAAAUUAACCACCCCAACCCCCAUAAAAUCUUCCAAAACAACAAUGCAACAACUCCCUUUCCCAUGGUUGAUUUCUCAAUUAAUUCUUUUUUUUUAGAGUAGAUCGAAGGAAAGAAGAAAAGACAUGAAGCUUUUGUCAAUGGUGAACAUCUCUUUCUUUAAGUUUUUGCCAACGCGCUGCCGCCGCAGGAGUUGUUGAAAACAUAAUCCUACCAGUAAUGCAUUAACACAAAAAACCCCAACUGAUUUCCAUCAUAGUCCAUCGAAUUUGCAAAUUAGGGUUCCUUAUGAGAAACUUUUUGUCGACAACUGGAAACCACCACUAGCAAUAAUGGAACCAGUCCCAAAGGUGUAUCAUUAGGAGGACUUUGUUAGUAGAGAAAGGAUGGGAGAAUUGAGAGGUAUAGAGGGAAUCGAGGGAGAGAUGGAGAGGUGAGAGAGAGAUGGAGAAUGACGAGGGAUGAGAGAGAGAAAAAGGGGAAAUUGGUGAGGGUUCCUUUGUUUUUUCCUUUUUUUUUAAAUUUAUAUUUUUGGCUUACUUUUUAAAAAAUAAAUUUUGUUUUAAUUUAUCAUUUUAUUUUUAUUAUUGAUUAAUAAUUUUAAAAAUUAAUCAAUUAAGAUAUUAUGACAUGGAAUUUAAUGAAGCAUUUAAAAUGACAUGGAAAUGAUGUGGAAGCUGACGCGGCAGCAAUUGUAUUACACACACCGAAGUAGGACUUAAAAUGUUGCUUGUUAGUAGGUUCAAGGGUCCAGAUGUUAAACAUGUAAUUAGUGCCUACCAUUUAUUUAGCUAAAUUUAAAAUGUUUAUACCUUACCAAUCAUAUUUUGUUUAUUUCAAGAUAAAAAAAAUGUGACGAUAUAACUUUUAUAUAAGCAUGUAGAUCAAAUCUAUUUUACACGAUGAUGUUGACAUGAUAUGUCAUUUUUCUAUAACGUCUCGCAAAGUAUUAUUGUUGUUUGUUCCGGUCUCAAAUAAAUAAACCAUCUAAUCCAUAUUAAGUGAAUUGUUGGAAAUCUUUUUAUAGUUUAAAAUAGCUGAAUUUUUAAAUGUUCAAGAGAAAUGUUAGAAUUUUUUCAUUUUUAACCUUACCCUUUCUUUUAAGGAAAUUCAUAACUAUUUUUUAUUUUCUUGAAAAAUAUUUUGAAAAUAAUCAAUAAAGCAAUAGUAAAUAAUAACCUUUAAUUCAUAAUCUUAAAUAUAUUCUUUUGCUUAAUGAAUAUACUAUAUCCUAACAAUUCUCCUAAUAUGGUCUAGAAUAAUAUAUUUUUAACUUAAUUCAAUGAUAGGGGGAAAAUAAUUAAUUGCUGCCUAAUUUGUGUUUUCCCUCAAAAUACAAAAAAAAAAAUUAAAAAUAAUAAUAAUAAUAAUAAUAAUAAUAAUAAUAAAAAACCAUUAAACUCAAAUUGAAAAAUAACACUUUUCAUUUAUUAACAUUUUCAUUUUUUCUCUAUUUGUGAAAUGUGUAUGUGGCAAUAGGAAAUAAAAUACAGAAAAUAUCUUAUUUAAGCAACUACCUUGACUGUGUUUUUAUUUCUUUCCCCUAACAUUUUCCUAUUUAAGAACAUCUUCGCAAAUGUUUUCUCUCAUCCUGAUUAGAUUCAUAGACUAAAAAUUGUGCCAAGGGCAAAUAAAGUGCAAGGAGUUGUUGAGAAGGUGCAUUACCAUGAAGUUCAGAAGAGUUAGUCGGGGAGAUACACAUAAAGAUAUCGAUACUAAGAAAGAAUUAAUGGUUAGAAUUAAUGGUUAGGUACAUUCGACAUGGCAGAUCUGGCUUCAACGACAUAUGAUGAAACGUUGAUUAAGUUCCAUGGUGUCAGAGCAAAGACCAAUUUUCCGAUUCCGAUGGGCAAGAUGAAUUGGGAGUUAAGUUAGAUCAGUUCUAUAGAGUCAUUAAAUGCGGUGACUGUAGAGGUAUUGAUGGUUGAAUAGCCAACUAGAAUGGAUCUAACCCUCGGAAGCAGUUAGAUCCAUGUGGUGAUUCAACCAUCAAUGCCGCCACAAUCACCGCAUUAGAUGACUCUAUAGAACUGACCGAACUACCAGUCUUCGCC